RNAcentral lists this ribosomal RNA (643 nucleotides) under uncultured Basidiomycota. RNAcentral's name for it is "LSU rRNA". It matches the Rfam family "Eukaryotic large subunit ribosomal RNA", at positions 1 to 632 of the family's 3401-position model. The record is from RNAcentral. Lineage: Eukaryota; Fungi; Basidiomycota.
CCUCGAAUCAGGUAGGAUUACCCGCUGAACUUAAGCAUAUCAAUAAGCGGAGGAAAAGAAACUAACAAGGAUUCCCCUAGUAACGGCGAGUGAAGCGGGAUGAGCUCAAAUUUAAAAUCUGGCGGUUUCACCGUCCGAGUUGUAAUCUGGAGAAGUGCUAUCUGUGCUGGACCGUGUAUAAGUUUCCUGGAACGGAGCGUCAUAGAGGGUGAGAAUCCCGUCUUUGCCACGGAUCCCCAGUGCUCUGCGAUGCACUCUCGAAGAGUCGAGUUGUUUGGGAAUGCAGCUCAAAAUGGGUGGUAAAUUCCAUCUAAAGCUAAAUAUUGGCGAGAGACCGAUAGCGAACAAGUACCGUGAGGGAAAGAUGAAAAGAACUUUGGAAAGAGAGUUAAACAGUACGUGAAAUUGUUGAAAGGGAAACGCUUGAAGUCAGUCGCGCCUGUCGAGACUCAGCCGGGCUUCUGCCCGGUGUACUUCUCGUCCGGCGGGUCAACAUCAGUUUCGUUCGGUGGAUAAGGGCGGUAGGAAUGUGGCUCUUUCGGGAGUGUUAUAGCCUGCCGUCGCAUGCAUCGAUCGGGACUGAGGAUCUCAGUGCGCCUUUAUGGCCGGGGUUCGCCCACGUACGCACUUAGGAGGUUGGCAU